GUCUUGUAAUUGGAAUGGAGUACAAUUUAAAUCCCUUAACGAGGAACAAUUCGGAGGGCAAGUCUGGUGCCAGCAGCCAGCGGUAAUUCCAGCUCCAAUAGCGUAUAUUAAAGUUGUUGCAGUUAAAAAGCUCGUAGUUGAACCUUGGGCCUGGCUGGCCGGUCCGCCUCACCGCGUGCAACUGGUCCGGCCGGGCCUUUCCUUCUGGGGAGCCGCAUGCCCUUCACUGGGUGUGUCGGGGAACCAGGACUUUUACUUUGAAAAAAUUAGAGUGUUCAAAGCAGGCUAUGCUCGAAUACAUUAGCAUGGAAUAAUAGA
RNAcentral lists this ribosomal RNA (318 nucleotides) under uncultured fungus. RNAcentral's name for it is "SSU rRNA". It matches the Rfam family "Eukaryotic small subunit ribosomal RNA", at positions 500 to 821 of the family's 1831-position model. The record is from RNAcentral. Lineage: Eukaryota; Fungi.